AAAAUUUGGAAGAUCCCAAUACAGGCCACGGUGUUGAAGGGGUUUUGGUUUAAGCAACAACGGUUGAAGCAGAAUUUGAAAUGGUGGAAUAAAGAAAUAUUUGGUGAAAUUUUCCAUAACUUACGGGGUGGCUGAGGCACAUGCAAAGGCAAUUGAGGAUUUAUUUCAACAAAAACAAUCUGCAAGGAACAGGGAGAAUAUCUUAUGCACAACUAAAUCAUUUACAUAGUGCAGAAGAAUUGUU
This 244-nucleotide long non-coding RNA is filed under the name Theobroma cacao (cacao). RNAcentral's name for it is "long non-coding RNA (TCAC_LNC003096)". Lineage: Eukaryota; Viridiplantae; Streptophyta; Magnoliopsida; Malvales; Malvaceae. The record is from RNAcentral.